GAUAACACAACGCACUUUUAAAUUAAGAUUGUUUCUUUUUUUGUUUUUCAUAGUGUCAUAUAUAUAUAUAUAUAUAUAUAUAUAUAUAUAUAUAUAUAUAUAUAUAAACAUUAUUUUUUUAUUUAUGAUUCUUGUAAUAUUAGAAGAAAAAAAUCAAAGGAUCCAAAUUCUUAUUUUAAUAUGGUUAAAAGAUAUUUAAUCUUAGACAACCUAAAAAAAAGAGUUAUAUCAAGACAACUUUAUGAAAAAGCAAAAUUGCUGGAAGAGUUGGUGAAGUUAAGGAAUUUGAGACUUCCGAGGAACUUGUAGGGACUUUUGGGUACAAACUUCAAAGUACUAGAUGUUAGUGCAGGGUACAUGAAUGUAAGUAAACCUUUUAAGGUUCUAUUGGUUACUGCAAUUUGUAUUGCUUUCCCAUUGAAUUUUCUUUUCAUUUGUCGAAGGCACGAGUUUGAUAAAAUUUUAAAAUUUUAUUUUUAAUUUUAAAAUAAAAAU
RNAcentral lists this long non-coding RNA (495 nucleotides) under Cicer arietinum (chickpea). RNAcentral's name for it is "long non-coding RNA (CARI_LNC001155)". Lineage: Eukaryota; Viridiplantae; Streptophyta; Magnoliopsida; Fabales; Fabaceae. The record is from RNAcentral.